CAGUAGCCGCGGUAAUACGUAGGGUGCAAGCGUUAAUCGGAAUUACUGGGCGUAAAGCGUGCGCAGGCGGUUAUAUAAGACAGAUGUGAAAUCCCCGGGCUCAACCUGGGAACUGCAUUUGUGACUGUAUAGCUAGAGUACGGCAGAGGGGGAUGGAAUUCCGCGUGUAGCAGUGAAAUGCGUAGAUAUGCGGAGGAACACCGAUGGCGAAGGCAAUCCCCUGGGCCUGUACUGACGCUCAUGCACGAAAGCGUGGGGAGCAAACAGGAUUAGAGACCCCUGUAGUCCCUGUCUCUUAUAC
This 301-nucleotide ribosomal RNA is filed under the name uncultured bacterium. Its description in RNAcentral is "partial 16S ribosomal RNA". It matches the Rfam family "Bacterial small subunit ribosomal RNA", at positions 509 to 807 of the family's 1533-position model. The record is from RNAcentral.